AAUAGGGUCGACUAAUAGGUAGGUCAUCAGACUCAUAAUCUGAAGGUAUAGGUUCAAAUCCUAUCCCUACUA
This 72-nucleotide transfer RNA is filed under the name Pleurostomum flabellatum. Its description in RNAcentral is "tRNA-Met". It matches the Rfam family "tRNA". From Rfam's summary of the family: Transfer RNA (tRNA) molecules are approximately 80 nucleotides in length. Their secondary structure includes four short double-helical elements and three loops (D, anti-codon, and T loops). Further hydrogen bonds mediate the characteristic L-shaped molecular structure. tRNAs have two regions of fundamental functional importance: the anti-codon, which is responsible for specific mRNA codon recognition, and the 3' end, to which the tRNAs corresponding amino acid is attached (by aminoacyl-tRNA synthetases). tRNAs cope with the degeneracy of the genetic code in two manners: having more than one tRNA (with a specific anti-codon) for a particular amino acid; and 'wobble' base-pairing, i.e. permitting non-standard base-pairing at the 3rd anti-codon position. The record is from RNAcentral. Lineage: Eukaryota; Heterolobosea; Eutetramitea; Acrasida; Tulamoebidae.